Molecule: long non-coding RNA, 605 nt
Filed under: Marmota monax (woodchuck)
Lineage: Eukaryota; Metazoa; Chordata; Mammalia; Rodentia; Sciuridae
Source: RNAcentral
GCCAGGACCUGGGUCCCCAAACCUGCAGGUGCUCAGUCAGGUCCCUCACGUGCUACGGCACAGUGUGACCUGUGGCCUGUGCAGCCCUGUGUCCACUCUGAGUCGUCCCCGGGUGGCUGGUGACAGCAGGGAAGCACUGUGUGCCCUGUGACCAUGCUGUGCUGUUCAGGGGGGACAAGACCCCCGGGCCUCCUCCCCAGAGGCCGCUCCUCUCAGGGGAAUCUUAGAAAGACACGCAGGCCACCGAGGCCGCCUGAGUCACCGAGGCCACCUGAGCUGCCUGAGGCCACUGAGGCCACCUGAGGCCACCAAGGGAAGCUCAAUGAUGUGACGUCACCAACAGAGUGAAGCCACAAGGUCACCUUCAGAGCCUUCUAGAGGCAGCAACCCUUUGGCUCCGUGUUUCUGUCCGGCUGAGGACAGGUCAGCGUGGACCCCGGUGGCACAUUAGUGCCAUGCCUGGGUGGCCAAGGACUGGGCGUGUCCUGCCUCCUGGAAGGGCCCAGCAGGCAGGUCCCGGGGCGCAGGGCCCUGGGUGGCUGCUGGAAGGAGGGCUGCACGUCCUGGGCCUGGCCGGUCUCUGGUCAGAUCCUGGAGGCGUGAGG